Aegilops tauschii subsp. strangulata is the source of this 1052-nucleotide long non-coding RNA. RefSeq lists it as uncharacterized. Lineage: Eukaryota; Viridiplantae; Streptophyta; Magnoliopsida; Poales; Poaceae. The record is from RefSeq and is a predicted model, not a curated record.
ACCAAACACGCCUCCACGCGCCUCUCGGCUCCCGCCCUCCGCCGCCGCCGCUCGCCACCUUCGGCGUGGAACUUCGCCUGUCCCCUCCGGCGUGGAACUCCGGCCCUCUCCACUGCCGCGUUCCUCUGCCUCUCCCGCCGGUGCCUGGGACAAGGCAAACUGGAUGAGCAAAAAAUCAAUGGUCGACCAAAGGAGGUAAAGAAUCAAGAUCAACAAAAAGCACCAAUAAUGAAAAUUGGCAUGUCUUCCAUUUACCUUACGGCACGUUGGAGGGCUCCAGAUUCGGACGCGUGCUACAUCUGUGGACAGGACGGUCACUAUGAGCAGUUUUGCCAAUACAAUUAUAUCUAUGGGCAAUAUGGGUUAUAUGGCCAACACACUUGUAGAGCAAACUGCCAUCCUGGACAACACACAAUGGCCAUGGCUUGUCGGAACUCUUUGCAGAGUCUCAUACGUGUGAAUAACAUGCCAUCGCGCUUCUGUACGUGGGACCUUCGGAAGCUUUUGGAACCAUUCGGACCAUUGCUGAUGUGCCACGUUCCAAUGGGCAGUUCUGAAGUGCGCAGGGGAUAUGGGGUUGUGAUCUUCAAGGAUCUUGGGAAUGGGAUGUUAGAGUUGUGUCGAAUAAUGUGUACAAGGUAGGUUAUAGUUGGAUUAUGAGUUGUAUUGUGUUUACAUAGGAUGUGGAGUUGUGUCCUAAUAGGACACUUGUAUCCUAGGCCUCUCAUAUAUAGUGGGGUAGACACACGAUGUAACCUAUGCCAACAUAAUAGCACAGGCGCGCAAGGGGGAGCCGGCGGCGUGUGCCGGCGCCCGGGUGGCCGGUGUGCGGUAUUGUGACGGUGUCAGGGGAGGAACGCCCGUAGUCAGUCCCGGGGAUGUAGCCAUAUCGGUGAACCUCGUUAACAAAUCUCGGUGUCGUGCUCGUGUGAUUGCUAGGUCCUUGAAUGAUCAACGGUAUGCCUCAGAUUUAUUCUAACAAGUGAUAUCAUGAGCUAGGUUGUCCGGAGGCUGCGGAUUGUUGAUUUAGAGGAACGAUGGAAUCUGAUAUG